This 2912-nucleotide long non-coding RNA is filed under the name Ceratitis capitata (Mediterranean fruit fly). RNAcentral describes it as "uncharacterized LOC110117664, transcript variant X2". Lineage: Eukaryota; Metazoa; Arthropoda; Insecta; Diptera; Tephritidae. The record is from RNAcentral.
CGCUGUGGAAAAAUUAAAAACUUAUAACGAGCUGCAAACAAUUGCAUCUCAUUGGAUGUUAUUUUUGUAUUCUUAGUUUCUAGCAGGUUUCCGGAUAACACCAUAGCACUUUGGGAACAAUGAAUAGUAGACAAGGCCGAAAUUCCGAGGUUGGAAUAACUAGAUAGAUUCUAGACGCUAGAAACAGUAUCAAAUAUUCAAAGUACGCAAGUAUUUAAGGUAGGACAAAAUAGGAUUCAUAUAACAUCGUUGGGGAAAAAACUUGCCUAGUCACCAUACCCAAUUUUCACAGCCUGUUUGUAGAUUAUGCCCAUCAUAUGCGCUAAAGGCUUGUCCAAAAUUUUUAGCUAUGAAGAAGGACGACCGAACCAAGAUAGUAAGGAUGUACAGCUAGUGCUUGAGGUGUGUAGCACAUCCAAAUAUUGCACAAAAGAGCAAGAGUACCUUUACCUGUUUCGGUUGUCACCAACGACAUCAUUCAUUUCUACAUAGGGCACCGACUGGAAACAGGCCAUCGCCAUCAACCAGUCGUUCCCAAUCAGAUAACAGAGAAGAUAAGGGUACUCAAUCUCCAACAACUUCCAGCGAGAUUCAGGCCCUGUUUGCAGCAAAUGCAUUGCGAUAGUAUACAUAUGCUACAAAGAAGUGAAUUGCGAAGCAAGGGCACUUUUGGAUUCUGGUCACAGGGCACGUUCAUCACAAAGCGGCUGGAAAGACGCAUUAAACUAUUAACACAACCUGUGGACUUUCAGAUAAGUGUCAUCAACACAACGACACCAGCUAAGAGGCCCGAUUCUCCUUCAACUCACAGAGAACAUCCCACAGCUUGCAGUUGGCCAAUUGGAUUUGAGUCUACUGCCACCGAUUAAUUUAGCCGAUGUCAACUUUUAUAGAAGUCAGUAUGUUGAUUUGGUGAUUUGUGCGGACCUGUACCCAGCGAUAAUGAUGGGAAUUAUUAAAAGGAAGGGAUAUUUUUUAAAUAUUAUAGUACAGGAAACUCCCCGCGGUGAAGUAGCAUUGACACAAAGGCGUUGUUACUAAAGUGGCGUUUUUUCAAAUAUGUUUUUAAUGCAGAUAUCGAGUAGAUGUAUCGACAUAUUUUAUUGCAGGAGGUUGACACGAAGUUCUAGUGGAUUAUUCUUAGAGAUUCCAUACCUAGCAAUAAGGACUCUACUUCAGCUGGCGGAAGAUGUUAGUUUGAAAUAUCCACUAGCCUCAAGAGUCUUGAAGCAGGAUAUAUAUGUGAACGAUGCUCUGGCUGGAGCACAUGAUUGUGAGAUAGUCAUUCGCACUCGGAAUGAACUUGUGCAAUCCUUGCAGGGAGCUGGUUUCCACUUGCGGAAAUAGACCUCAAACACUAAGGAAGUUUUGGCUGCUCUGGUGCAGAAUUGUUCGACCCGGAAGGCUGGUUGGUUCCCAUCGUGGUGGAGGCAAAAAUACUAAUGCAGGGUGUAUGGCUCAUGAAGAUUGACUGGGAUGAUGUUCACCUAGAGGAAUUUACUUACGCUCGACGUUGCCAGUGGUCUCCAAAUGGAUGAAUUCUACCAUCGUUCUGUCAUGGAUGCGGAAGCACAUUGCAGCUGGACUACCUUUAUAGCAAAUCGGUGGCGAAAAUCGAAGAACUAGUUGGAGUCAUUGGAUGGAAUCAUGUGGAUUCUAUUGGCAAUCUCGCCUAUCUGGGCAGCCGCAGAGAGCAUCAUCUGGUGGCGCGGUACGUCAUUAUUGAAACGACAUCCAAAAAAGAGAUGUCAUAAUGAAAACAGAAUUGGAGCAAAAGAUUGUGAGAAUUCAUACAGCGCAAAUUACAUACACAGAAGAUAUCUUGCAAUAAUUGCAUUUUUAGGAUCAGAUCACCGCGUUCGAGUAGUAGAAAUGCUUACUACACGUUGUCUAACAACAAGACCAAUCGUUAUAUUAGUAAUGCUUCCUGUUGUAAGACCAACUAAUGAAUCCUUUUUUUCUGAGAAUUACGAAAUGAUUCAAGUCAACAACAUCAACAUCCUGAAGGACCAACACCGCCGUCCAGUCUGCAAGAACAACCAUCCGCUUCUAUUUUGCUAACAGAUGCGCCGGAUUAAAUCCACAGAGAGACUCCGGGCUGUCCUCUUCAACUGUCACUGUGCCUAUUGUCUGCCGCAGCAUCACAUAGCCAGCCGAUGUCCAUCGGCAAAGCAUGCCACGAACGGCACCACAGUCUCCUUUAUCUGUGCGAAAUGGAGGAAGACCUGCCUUACAUCCAAGGCAUGGUAGACGGUCAGUACAAAAGACAGGGUCCAUACCGAGCUCCACCGUUGAUUGAGUCCACCGAUGAAGAAGUGUUGCAAAUAGAUGCCAGCAGCAAAACUCUGGUAGAAAUAACAGAGCCAGCGUCCAGUCGCAGCGAUCCGACGGUACUCAGAUCGCUGCUAACGAAUGUCCAAUCAGUGAUUCAGCGGCCAAUCCAGCCCACCAAAGAACAAAUUGUGCACCCACGACAACAACGAAGUCAUAAUAAUCAAGCAUAUUCAGAGAACAAGCAGAUCUGUCCCCACGCCGACGGUAAUGGUGACGCUUACCUUGAAGGGUGAAUCUGAGAUUGGCCGACCCGUUCUUUUGUAGGAAAAUCACCGUGUGUUUAUAUUAGAUGCCGAUAUUUACGCAGCGAUUCUGAGGCCAGGAUUAAUGCCUGCAAAACUAAAUAGGCCAGGGGCACAGAGCACACUUUGGAUAGGUGAUAUCCGGCAGUAUUAGGAAUUCGUAAUAAUCAUCUUUAGUGUCAAGUAAAAUGAAAUGUGAAUUAAAUUUUCCAAUGAAGUGUUAUUUAUGAAUUUUUGAUCUAUAGUUUUUGAGCUUUCAUUGAAAGAAUAACUUGUAUUUAUAAACCUAUUUAAGUAUUUCUAUUGCCGGUCUAACGUUCUCUUUUAAUUAUAGCU